RNAcentral lists this unclassified non-coding RNA (252 nucleotides) under uncultured Sphingomonadaceae bacterium. Its description in RNAcentral is "contains 16S-23S intergenic spacer region". It matches the Rfam family "Bacterial small subunit ribosomal RNA", at positions 524 to 776 of the family's 1533-position model. The record is from RNAcentral. Lineage: Bacteria; Pseudomonadati; Pseudomonadota; Alphaproteobacteria; Sphingomonadales; Sphingomonadaceae.
UACGAGGGGACUAGCGUUGUUCGGAAAUACUGGGCGUAAAGCGAACGUAGGUGGCUUUUCAAGUCAGGGGUGAAAUCCCGGGGCUCAACCCCGGAACUGCCCUUGAAACUGGAUCGCUAGAAUCCUGGAGAGGUGAGUGGAAUUCCGAGUGUAGAGGUGAAAUUCGUAGAUAUUCGGAAGAACACCAGUGGCGAAGGCGACUCACUGGACAGGUAUUGACGCUGAGGUUCGAAAGCGUGGAGAGCAAACAGG